This 24-nucleotide non-coding RNA is filed under the name Arabidopsis thaliana (thale cress). Lineage: Eukaryota; Viridiplantae; Streptophyta; Magnoliopsida; Brassicales; Brassicaceae. The record is from RNAcentral.
CAUUUAACUCUCUCCAUCAUUCAA